AUUAGAGAUUUGGUCGCCUUUUCUCGUUUGUAAUUUUUUUACACCUACAUUUAAGAAAAUUGCAAAAUUUGCCGCCCCCUAUAGAUUUGCCGCCAUGGGCCGCGGCCCAUGUGGCCACCCCCUUAAUCCGGCCCUGCUUUUGUAGUGCGAUAAACUGCACAAGCAGCAGCAAGAAGAAGGAGCCUGGAGUUUCAUUUCAUGCCUUUCCACUGAAUGAACCGGAGCGCUGUGCCAAGUGGGUGCAAGCAACUCGGAGAGAGACCAAAGGGCACAAUUUUCCAAGUAAAUAUUCUUACCUGUGCUCGAAGCACUUUCCAGAUACUUGCUUCCGUGAGGCGAAGGGGCGAAAAGUCCUAAAUUGUACUGCUAUACCAUCGAUUUUUAAUUUUGGCAAAGAAGAGCCACAGAAACCAACCAGAAGAAGGUUGUUCCGUGACCUCCAAACGGCUGAGACACCUCCGGUCCCAAAACGGACCAAAGUGAUUCAGAAACCUGGUUUCCUGGAUGCAAUCGGUAUGCUUUUAAUCAAAAUUAUCCGUCAAAUCAUCAGUCGGCGAUCAAUUUUUCCCAGUUGCAUGAGUCCACCAUGAGAAGGUCAGUAUCACCAAGGUUGAACAGUUAAUACAAAGAAUAAAAAAAAUAAAACACUGAAAAUCAUUUUCGUCUUUAAUUCUAGUCAUAUCUGUGAUGUUUCUUCUUAAGACACGCAUUAAUAAGGGCAUUUUUGCAAAUAAUUCUCUCUUAAAACCACGAAUAUCAUACACGGUUUCUUAUGAUAACAAUUCUCCGGGACCCAAGUAAACAUAACCUAACUUCUGUACUCUCGCGUUCCGCUCUUUUCCUAUCUGGCGGCCAUUCUAGGGGUGUAGUUCGUUGAAGCAUGUCCGAGAUAGGAAUGGUACGGGUCUGCUCUUCCUCCACCCUUUUGCUAGGAUAGAUUUUUGAAAGAGAGUCCGGUCUCCGGCUCCCACCCCCUCUGCCGUUUACCCCUCAGCCCUUUAGUUCGCCAUAGCCCCGCCCGC
Molecule: long non-coding RNA, 1022 nt
Filed under: Bemisia tabaci
Lineage: Eukaryota; Metazoa; Arthropoda; Insecta; Hemiptera; Aleyrodidae
Description: lncRNA ENSSWEETPG005871
Source: RNAcentral